AUUGAACGCUGGCGGCAGGCCUAACACAUGCAAGUCGAGCGGAUGAAGGGAGCUUGCUCCUGGAUUCAGCGGCGGACGGGUGAGUAAUGCCUAGGAAUCUGCCUGGUAGUGGGGGAUAACGUCCGGAAACGGGCGCUAAUACCGCCUACGUCCUGAGGGAGAAAGUGGGGGAUCUUCGGACCUCACGCUAUCAGAUGAGCCUAGGUCGGAUUAGCUAGUUGGUGGGGUAAAGGCCUGCCAAGGCGACGAUCCGUAACUGGUCUGAGAGGAUGGUCAGUCACACUGGAACUGAGGCACGGUCCAGACUCCUACGGGAGGCAGCAGUGGGGAAUAUUGGACAAUGGGCGAAAGCCUGAUCCAGCCAUGCCGCGUGUGUGAAGAAGGUCUUCGGAUUGUAAAGCACUUUAAGUUGGGAGGAAGGGCAGUAAGUUAAUACCUUGCUGCUUUGACGUUACCAACAGAAUAAGCACCGGCUAACUUCGUG
RNAcentral lists this ribosomal RNA (484 nucleotides) under uncultured bacterium. Its description in RNAcentral is "partial 16S ribosomal RNA". It matches the Rfam family "Bacterial small subunit ribosomal RNA", at positions 30 to 507 of the family's 1533-position model. The record is from RNAcentral.